AUGCUGGCGAUCCCUCCGAGCAGGCUCCUGUGCUCUCUUCCCUUUAGGACAGAUCUUCCUGGAGCCUUCCAUUCCCUUUCCCAUCUCCUACCGCCUGUGAAAUUUGCUUCUAGGAGUCUGGUUUCCAGGAGCGCCUCCACCUGCCACCCCUGCACAUUCCUACAGCAUCUCUUAGCUUUCUGUCUAAGCCUACGAAACCCUGGCACAGCCAUCCCUUUGCUGGUUGGUCCAGAGCCUCUAUCAACUGGACAUCCGGAUAUUCGAAGAGUCGGGGCCGGGGGGGGGGGGGGGGGGGGGGGGGGGGGGGGGGGGGGGGGGGGGGGGGGGGGGGGGGGGGGGGGGGGGGGGGGGGGGGGGGCACGGGGGUGUGUGGCUGCAGAACAGCUCCCACUCCCAGGUCGACUCAGACCUUUUCAAGUUGCUCCGGGGCCCAGCUCACCUGCAGCGCGCAGACGGGCACCCAGUCGGCUCGGGCACCCAGAGGACCGGGACGGCCAGGCCUCUGCUCAGUCACCGACGGGGCACGUGAGCUGCCCCUUCCCCUUUAGCGGCCGGGGCCUGCGGAGGUCUCGGUUCAGCCCCCCGCUCGCCGCAGCCGCUCCCUCCCGCAGCGACGUGAUCGCCAGCGCGGCCUGGAGACCAGCGUUCUGCCUCGGGGGACACCUGAGCCCGGGGUCCCGCGUGCACACUCUCGCGCGCGGUGCGAUAAACGGCAGGUGGCCCCGUGGGAGGUGCCUCUCGCGGUGCCUCUCUCUGGCGGGCGGGGCAAGGUCAUCACCUCUUUCUUCCAGCUCCGGGGAAGUUUCCGAACCAGGUCCCCGCGCGGCCACGCAGCGCGGCCUCCCGCGCCAGGGCGCGAAGGGAGGGUUCCGGAGGCGCCCCCCGCCCAGCUGGGUGCGCUUGGAGGACUCGCUCAGGAGCUCCAGAGACGUCUCUGCAAUGCACGCACCCAACUGUCCGCGCACCACUUGGCUGAGCCCCGCUUCCUCGCGCCCCAGUUUCCCUACAUUUCGGAUUCUUUUCUCCGCUUCUGGGCACCCCGACCCUGCCCAGGGUUGA
RNAcentral lists this long non-coding RNA (1059 nucleotides) under Canis lupus familiaris (dog). Its description in RNAcentral is "lncRNA (ENSCAFG00845001390.1)". The record is from RNAcentral. Lineage: Eukaryota; Metazoa; Chordata; Mammalia; Carnivora; Canidae.